UGGCUAAGCAAAAAGGGGA
This 19-nucleotide unclassified non-coding RNA is filed under the name Mus musculus (house mouse). RNAcentral's name for it is "oocyte_clustered_small_RNA4371". The record is from RNAcentral. Lineage: Eukaryota; Metazoa; Chordata; Mammalia; Rodentia; Muridae.